This 71-nucleotide transfer RNA is filed under the name Bos taurus (domestic cattle). It matches the Rfam family "tRNA". From Rfam's summary of the family: Transfer RNA (tRNA) molecules are approximately 80 nucleotides in length. Their secondary structure includes four short double-helical elements and three loops (D, anti-codon, and T loops). Further hydrogen bonds mediate the characteristic L-shaped molecular structure. tRNAs have two regions of fundamental functional importance: the anti-codon, which is responsible for specific mRNA codon recognition, and the 3' end, to which the tRNAs corresponding amino acid is attached (by aminoacyl-tRNA synthetases). tRNAs cope with the degeneracy of the genetic code in two manners: having more than one tRNA (with a specific anti-codon) for a particular amino acid; and 'wobble' base-pairing, i.e. permitting non-standard base-pairing at the 3rd anti-codon position. Lineage: Eukaryota; Metazoa; Chordata; Mammalia; Artiodactyla; Bovidae. RNAcentral also lists the same sequence under 3 other names. The record is from Rfam by way of RNAcentral.
UCCCAGGUGGCUUAGUGGUAAAGAAUCUGCCUGCCAAGCAUAAGACACAGGUUCUAUCCCUGGGUUGGGAA